RNAcentral lists this ribosomal RNA (247 nucleotides) under uncultured bacterium. Its description in RNAcentral is "partial 16S ribosomal RNA". It matches the Rfam family "Bacterial small subunit ribosomal RNA", at positions 85 to 334 of the family's 1533-position model. The record is from RNAcentral.
CCGAUGGCGACCGGCGCACGGGUGAGUAACACGUAUCCAACCUGCCUCAUACUCGGGGAUAGCCUUUUGAAAGAAAGAUUAAUAUCCGAUAGCAUAUAUUUCCCGCAUGGGUUUUAUAUUAAAGAAAUUCGGUAUGAGAUGGGGAUGCGUUCCAUUAGUUUGUUGGGGGGUAACGGCCCACCAAGACUACGAUGGAUAGGGGCUCUGAGAGGAAGGUCCCCCACAUUGGAACUGAGACACGGUCCAA